This 329-nucleotide ribosomal RNA is filed under the name uncultured eukaryote. RNAcentral describes it as "partial 18S ribosomal RNA". It matches the Rfam family "Eukaryotic small subunit ribosomal RNA", at positions 1470 to 1796 of the family's 1831-position model. The record is from RNAcentral.
CCCUUAGAUGUCCUGGGCCGCACGCGCGCUACACUGAGUGUCUGAGAUACGAGUCUGCCUGGUCCGGCAAGGUCUAGGUAAUCGCUAAAAGACACAUCAUGCUUGGGAUAGAUUAUUGCAAAUAUUAAUCUUGAACGAGGAAUUCCUAGUAAGCGCAAGUCAACAGCUUUCGUUGAUUACGUCCCUGCCCUUUGUACACACCGCCCGUCGCUACUACUGAUUGGAUGUUUAAGCGAGGUUCUCGAACUGCUAGCGACUUAGCUUCGGUGAGGUCGCAGUGUGGGAAGUGAACCUAGCUUUGGUGUCUAGAGGAAGUAAAAGUCGUAACA